This 468-nucleotide ribosomal RNA is filed under the name uncultured bacterium. Its description in RNAcentral is "partial 16S ribosomal RNA". It matches the Rfam family "Bacterial small subunit ribosomal RNA", at positions 28 to 507 of the family's 1533-position model. The record is from RNAcentral.
GACGAACGCUGGCGGCGUGCUUAACACAUGCAAGUCGAACGGAAAGGCCCUGCUUUUGUGGGGUGCUCGAGUGGCGAACGGGUGAGUAACACGUGAGUAACCUGCCCUUGACUUUGGGAUAACUUCAGGAAACUGGGGCUAAUACCGGAUAGGAGCUCCUGCGGCAUGGUGGGGGUUGGAAAGUUUCGGCGGUUGGGGAUGGACUCGCGGCUUAUCAGCUUGUUGGUGGGGUAGUGGCUUACCAAGGCUUUGACGGGUAGCCGGCCUGAGCGGGUGACCGGCCACAUUGGGACUGAGAUACGGCCCAGACUCCUACGGGAGGCAGCAGUGGGGAAUAUUGCACAAUGGGCGGAAGCCUGAUGCAGCAACGCCGCGUGCGGGAUGACGGCCUUCGGGUUGUAAACCGCUUUCGCCUGUGACGAAGCGUGAGUGACGGUAAUGGGUAAAGAAGCACCGGCUAACUACGUG